Molecule: long non-coding RNA, 2399 nt
Organism: Eriocheir sinensis (Chinese mitten crab)
Lineage: Eukaryota; Metazoa; Arthropoda; Malacostraca; Decapoda; Varunidae
Exons: 6
Source: RefSeq, a predicted model, not a curated record
UGGGGUGGUGUGAGGCAGUAGUGUGGGGUGGUGUGAGGCGGUAGUGUGGGGUGGUGUGAGGCAGUAGUGUGGGGUGGUGUGAGGCGGUAGUGUGGGGUGGUGUGAGGCGGUAGUGUGGGGUGGUGUGAGGCGGUAGUGUGGGGUGGUGUGAGGCGGUAGUGUGGGGUGGUGUGAGGCGGUAGUGUCCCAGAUGUUCACGGGAAAAGUGUCGAGACAGCGGCGAGAUGACUGAAAUGCUGACUCGGGACGCCUGCUGGAGGCCCUCAACUCCUAGGAAAGCCUUGCCAAAUGUGUGUUUCCUUAGGUUCAAAGUACAGAGGAAGGGUCACAAAACUACCCCUGGAAAUGCCCACAACUCCUAGGAAAGCCUUGCCAAAUAUGUGUUUCCUUAGGUUCACGGUACAGAGGAAGGGUCACAAAACUACCCCUGGAAAUGCCCACAACUCCUAGGAAAGCCUUGCCAAAUGUGUGUUUCCUUAGGUUCACGGUACAGAGGAAGGGUCACAAAACUACCCCUGGAAAUGCCCACAACUCCUAGGAAAGCCUUGCCAAAUAUGUGUUUCCUUAGGUUCACGGUACAGAGGAAGGGUCACACUACCACCAGGGCCACAAAACUACCCCUGGAAAUGCCCACAACCCCUAGGAAAGCCUUGCCAAAUGUGUGUUUCCUUAGGUUCAAAGUACAGAGGAAGGGUCACACUACCACCAGGGCCACAAAACUACCCCUGGAAAUGCCCACAACCCCUAGGAAAGCCUUGCCAAAUAUGUGUUUCCUUAGGUUCACGGUACAGAGGAAGGGUCACACUACCACCAGGGUCACAAAACUACCCCUGGAAAUGCCCACAACUCCUAGGAAAGCCUUGUCAAGUGUGUGUUUCCUUAGGUUCACGGUACAGAGGAAGGGUCACAAAACUACCCCUGGAAAUGCCCACAACUCCUAGGAAAGCCUUGCCAAAUAUGUGUUUCCUUAGGUUCAUGGUACAGAGGAAGGGUCACACUACCACCAGGGUCACAAAACUACCCCUGGAAAUGCCCACAACUCCUAGGAAAGCCUUGCCAAAUGUGUGUUUCCUUAGGUUCACGGUACAGAGGAAGGGUCACAAAACUACCCCUGGAAAUGCCCACAACUCCUAGGAAAGCCUUGCCAAAUAUGUGUUUCCUUAGGUUCACGGUACAGAGGAAGGGUCACAAAACUACCCCUGGAAAUGCCCACAACUCCUAGGAAAGCCUUGCCAAAUGUGUGUUUCCUUAGGUUCACGGUACAGAGGAAGGGUCACACUACCACCAGGGUCACAAAACUACCCCUGGAAAUGCCCACAACUCCUAGGAAAGCCUUGUCAAGUGUGUGUUUCCUUAGGUUCACGGUACAGAGGAAGGGUCACAAAACUACCCCUGGAAAUGCCCACAACUCCUAGGAAAGCCUUGCCAAAUAUGUGUUUCCUUAGGUUCACGGUACAGAGGAAGGGUCACACUACCACCAGGGUCACAAAACUACCCCUGGAAAUGCCCACAACUCCUAGGAAAGCCUUGUCAAGUGUGUGUUUCCUUAGGUUCACGGUACAGAGGAAGGGUCACAAAACUACCCCUGGAAAUGCCCACAACUCCUAGGAAAGCCUUGCCAAAUAUGUGUUUCCUUAGGUUCAUGGUACAGAGGAAGGGUCACACUACCACCAGGGUCACAAAACUACCCCUGGAAAUGCCCACAACUCCUAGGAAAGCCUUGCCAAAUGUGUGUUUCCUUAGGUUCACGGUACAGAGGAAGGGUCACAAAACUACCCCUGGAAAUGCCCACAACUCCUAGGAAAGCCUUGCCAAAUAUGUGUUUCCUUAGGUUCACGGUACAGAGGAAGGGUCACACUACCACCAGGGUCACAAAACUACCCCUGGAAAUGCCCACAACUCCUAGGAAAGCCUUGCCAAAUAUGUGUUUCCUUAGGUUCACGGUACAGAGGAAGGGUCACAAAACUACCCCUGGAAAUGCCCACAACUCCUAGGAAAGCCUUGCCAAAUGUGUGUUUCCUUAGGUUCACGGUACAGAGGAAGGGUCACAAAACUACCCCUGGAAAUGCCCACAACUCCUAGGAAAGCCUUGCCAAAUUAUGCUUACAUCUCAAAAUUAUCAAAUAAUCUAUGUUUCUUUAUGUGCACCAUUUAAUUCUGCAUGUUUUUAUAUAUAAUACAUGAUGAUUAUAUUGAGUUUAUGGCUGAAAAAACAGACACAGACGGGCUAGGCAUGGGUCAUAUAGGAUGACUGGCAGGAACCAACACUAUGAGCCACAUAUUUGUAACAGGUUCACAGCAUGGUGUGGUGAAUGCUUAUGUUGCCUUCCCAUGACUGAGCCUUGGGGAGCUUGGCCAUUUCCAGGGGGAGUUUUAUGGCCCCUCUGCCCGGGCUGCCU